RNAcentral lists this non-coding RNA (29 nucleotides) under Rattus norvegicus (Norway rat). Lineage: Eukaryota; Metazoa; Chordata; Mammalia; Rodentia; Muridae. The record is from RNAcentral.
UGGGAAAGCUGUGGCCAAAUCAAUGAUAA